RNAcentral lists this unclassified non-coding RNA (393 nucleotides) under Hevea brasiliensis (rubber tree). The record is from RNAcentral. Lineage: Eukaryota; Viridiplantae; Streptophyta; Magnoliopsida; Malpighiales; Euphorbiaceae.
GUAGUGAUAACAGCUCCAAUCAUAGACGAUGCUAGAAUGGUAAACACAAAUUCCGAACAGUUCUGUAGAAAAGUCAUGAUAACAUCUCCCUUUUCGAUCCCUACCAUUGUCAAACCAGCAGCAAUUUUCUGGCAGAUGAGAUACGUUUCGCCAAACGUGAAUGUUUCUCCACUACUUCCCGCGAUAAUACAUGUCCUCUCCUCAAACUCCGAUAGCCUUUCGAACAAGUAAACAUGGAGCGGUAUGUUAUUGGAAAUUGAUAUAUCUGGUAAUUUCGAUCUAAAUACAUGUAGCUCUUCCGAAGAUUGAUUUUGAUUCGUAGAAAUCACAGAAGACAAUAUCUCUGCUUUUUGGGCAUCCACAGUAGCUACACUCACCAUUUCCGGUUAUGAG